UGGGGAAUUUUGCACAAUGGGGGAAACCCUGAUGCAGCGACGCCGCGUGAUUUAGAAGGCCUUCGGGUUGUAAAAAUCUUUUUUACGGGAUGAAAAUGACAGUACCGUAAGAAUAAGGUCCGGCUAAAUACGUGCCAGCAGCCGCGGUAAUACGUAUGGACCGAGCGUUGUCCGGAAUCAUUGGGCGUAAAGGGUACGUAGGCGGCCUAGUAAGUUAGAAGUGAAAUAAUAUAGCUCAACUAUAUAAAGCUUUUAAAACUGCUAGGCUUGAGAGAUGGAAGGGAAAGUGGAAUUCCUAGUGUAGCGGUGAAAUACGCAGAUAUUAGGAAGAAUACCGGUGGCGAAAGCGACUUUCUGGUCAUCAUCUGACGCUGAGGUACGAAAGCGUGGGUAGCAAACAGG
Molecule: ribosomal RNA, 402 nt
Filed under: bacterium
Lineage: Bacteria
Description: partial 16S ribosomal RNA
Rfam family: Bacterial small subunit ribosomal RNA
Source: RNAcentral